RNAcentral lists this ribosomal RNA (460 nucleotides) under uncultured bacterium. RNAcentral's name for it is "partial 16S ribosomal RNA". It matches the Rfam family "Bacterial small subunit ribosomal RNA", at positions 338 to 795 of the family's 1533-position model. The record is from RNAcentral.
CCUACGGGUGGCAGCAGUGAGGAAUAUUGGUCAAUGGGCGGAAGCCUGAACCAGCCAAGUCGCGUGAGGGAAUAAGGCCCUACGGGUCGUAAACCUCUUUUGCCGGGGAGCAAGGGCGGGGACGUGUCCCGGCCCGGAGAGUACCCGGAGAAAAAGCAUCGGCUAACUCCGUGCCAGCAGCCGCGGUAAUACGGAGGAUGCGAGCGUUAUCCGGAUUUAUUGGGUUUAAAGGGUGCGUAGGCGGGCUUUUAAGUCAGCGGUAAAAAUUCGGGGCUCAACCCCGUCCGGCCGUUGAAACUGGUGGUCUUGAGUGGAUGAGAAGUACGCGGAAUGCGUGGUGUAGCGGUGAAAUGCAUAGAUAUCACGCAGAACUCCGAUUGCGAAGGCAGCGUACCGGCAUCCAACUGACGCUGAGGCACGAAAGCGUGGGGAUCAAACAGGAUUAGAUACCCCUGUAGUC